GACGAACCGUGCGAACGUUGUUCGGAAUCACUGGGCAUAAAGGGCGCGUAGGCGGCUUAUCAAGUCAGGGGUGAAAUCCGGCAGCUCAACUGUCGAAGUGCCUUUGAUACUGAUGAGCUAGAGGGAGAUAGGGGUAUGCGGAACUUCCGGUGGAGCGGUGAAAUGCGUUGAUAUCGGAAGGAGCGCCGGUGGCGAAAGCGGCGUACUGGAUCUCUUCUGACGCUGAGGCGCGAAAGCUAGGGGAGCAAACGGG
RNAcentral lists this ribosomal RNA (253 nucleotides) under uncultured bacterium. RNAcentral's name for it is "partial 16S ribosomal RNA". It matches the Rfam family "Bacterial small subunit ribosomal RNA", at positions 524 to 776 of the family's 1533-position model. The record is from RNAcentral.